Molecule: long non-coding RNA, 255 nt
Organism: Hypomesus transpacificus
Lineage: Eukaryota; Metazoa; Chordata; Actinopteri; Osmeriformes; Osmeridae
Exons: 3
Source: RefSeq, a predicted model, not a curated record
AGGAGCGCCUUAAGGUGCUGGAGAACCGAAAGAGUGAUGCUGUGAUGAAGUGGAAGACUGGACUGGGAGAGAAGGCUGUGGAGCUCCUCACAGCGUAGACACUCAAACACGCCCCGGCAGUCCAUUCAAGACAAGCCAGGGCCAACAGGCAGGACCUGUAGCGGGGACUGGCAGAAGAUGUUAAUUCACUGUUUGGCACUUUGUUUGAAAUAAAAUGACUGAAUGUUACAUGGAAAUGCUGCCUUGUUUAUGAUU